Molecule: unclassified non-coding RNA, 329 nt
Filed under: soil metagenome
Description: partial contains 5.8S ribosomal RNA, internal transcribed spacer 2, and large subunit ribosomal RNA
Rfam family: 5.8S ribosomal RNA (bases 1-120)
Source: RNAcentral
GAUGAAGAACGUAGCGAAAUGCGAUAAGUAGUGUGAAUUGCAGAAUUCAGUGAAUCAUCGAAUCUUUGAACGCACAUUGCGCCCCUUGGUAUCCCGAGGGGCAUGCCUGUUCGAGCAUCAUUUCACCACUCAAGCCUGGCUUGGUGUUGGGCGACGUCCUCUUUGGGGACGCGCCUCGAAACGCUCGGCGGCGUGGCACCGGCUUUAAGCGUAGCAGAAUCUUUCGCUUUGGAAGUCGGGGCCCCGCCUGCCGGAAUACCUACUUGUAAGGUUGACCUCGGAUCAGGCAGGGAUACCCGCUGAACUUAAGCAUAUCAAUAAGCGGAGGA